This 77-nucleotide transfer RNA is filed under the name Candidatus Methanosuratincola petrocarbonis (ex Vanwonterghem et al. 2016). Its description in RNAcentral is "tRNA-Phe". It matches the Rfam family "tRNA". From Rfam's summary of the family: Transfer RNA (tRNA) molecules are approximately 80 nucleotides in length. Their secondary structure includes four short double-helical elements and three loops (D, anti-codon, and T loops). Lineage: Archaea; Thermoproteati; Thermoproteota; Methanosuratincolia; Candidatus Methanomethylicales; Candidatus Methanomethylicaceae. The record is from RNAcentral. RNAcentral also lists the same sequence under 5 other names.
GCCCGAGUAGCUCAGCCUGGGAGAGCAUCCGGCUGAAGACCGGAGUGUCGCUGGUUCAAAUCCGGCCUCGGGCACCA